UCCUCCUUUUAUAGCCUUCACCAGCCCUCUCUCCUCCCCUAUUCCGAAACAGGGGAGGAUGGAGUUCCUUGCGAACGGUNGGGUGCUGACCUACAACUGGCCGUGAGCUCGCUGGGAAGGUGUUUGGAUGGAUUUGGAAGAGGAAAUCUGGGAUACGUGCUGAUCCGGAACAAACUAACGCGGAGGAACUUGGAUAUGGC
Molecule: long non-coding RNA, 200 nt
Filed under: Phoenix dactylifera (date palm)
Lineage: Eukaryota; Viridiplantae; Streptophyta; Magnoliopsida; Arecales; Arecaceae
Description: long non-coding RNA (PDAC_LNC009598)
Source: RNAcentral